This 73-nucleotide transfer RNA is filed under the name Actinomycetes bacterium. Its description in RNAcentral is "Actinobacteria bacterium tRNA-Glu". It matches the Rfam family "tRNA". From Rfam's summary of the family: Transfer RNA (tRNA) molecules are approximately 80 nucleotides in length. Their secondary structure includes four short double-helical elements and three loops (D, anti-codon, and T loops). Further hydrogen bonds mediate the characteristic L-shaped molecular structure. tRNAs have two regions of fundamental functional importance: the anti-codon, which is responsible for specific mRNA codon recognition, and the 3' end, to which the tRNAs corresponding amino acid is attached (by aminoacyl-tRNA synthetases). tRNAs cope with the degeneracy of the genetic code in two manners: having more than one tRNA (with a specific anti-codon) for a particular amino acid; and 'wobble' base-pairing, i.e. permitting non-standard base-pairing at the 3rd anti-codon position. Lineage: Bacteria; Bacillati; Actinomycetota; Actinomycetes. The record is from RNAcentral.
GCUCCCGUCGUCCAGAGGUCUAGGAUUCCUCUCUUUCAAGGAGGCGACACGGGUUCGAAUCCCGUCGGGAGCA